UAUGCCCUACGGGGGGCAGCAGUAGGGAAUCUUCCACAAUGGACGAAAGUCUGAUGGAGCAACGCCGCGUGAGUGAAGAAGGGUUUCGGCUCGUAAAGCUCUGUUGGUAGUGAAGAAAGAUAGAGGUAGUAACUGGCCUUUAUUUGACGGUAAUUACUUAGAAAGUCACGGCUAACUACGUGCCAGCAGCCGCGGUAAUACGUAGGGGGCAAGCGUUGUCCGGAUUUAUUGGGCGGAGAGGGAG
This 244-nucleotide ribosomal RNA is filed under the name uncultured bacterium. Its description in RNAcentral is "partial 16S ribosomal RNA". It matches the Rfam family "Bacterial small subunit ribosomal RNA", at positions 333 to 569 of the family's 1533-position model. The record is from RNAcentral.